This 3601-nucleotide long non-coding RNA is filed under the name Zostera marina. RNAcentral's name for it is "long non-coding RNA (ZMAR_LNC005114)". Lineage: Eukaryota; Viridiplantae; Streptophyta; Magnoliopsida; Alismatales; Zosteraceae. The record is from RNAcentral.
GAAUAGGACUGGACGUUUUCUUAUUGUGUUUUCUGAAUCCCCUGUUCCCUCUCUGUACUGGAUGCGGGAUUUGAUGGGAUUUUGCAUUUUCCCCUGGCUCUCUGGCGGGGGAUCCUUUAUGUGACUUUUUUGUGCGAGGGGUCUGGAAUGUGCUGUGUGGCUACUUGCCCUUUGCCUUUCUGAACCCUGGACUAAAGGAUGUGCUGAGUUCUGACCCUUCGUAAACUGGGCUGUCAUGGUUCUGCGUGUGGUUUCACCUGCUUUUAGUCUUUCCUGCAUUCGAGCUAUGGUUUCUCUCAUGUUGAUUAAUUCUUCGAUUGAGAUUUGUAUCGAAGAGUGAUGGCUGUUAGCAGGGGCAGAUGAAUAUUCAAUAUUCAGGGCCCUUUCUUGGCGAAUGGGAAUCUGCUGUCGUUCCCUCUAUUGUUGCUCUAUAUUCAGGGUCCUUUCUUGACGGGCGGGAAUCUGUUGUUGUUUCCUCUGCUGUUGUUCUAUGAUCGGGGCCCUUUCUUGACGAGCGGGAAUCUGUUGUUGUUCCCUCUGCUGUUCAAUCUGCAUAUGUAGAAAGCCAAAUGGAUUUUGUAAUGUUACUGUUUCCAUUUGAGUUUGAUUUUGCAGGGGGACUGGUAUUAUCAUAGUUUGAUUUUCUCUUGGCCCAUUAGUUUGGGCUCUAGGCCUCUCAGGUGCCCCUUCUUGUUGGGCUGCCCCUUGUGUUUUUUCCCUCGCGUAUGAGGUUGUUCUUGUGUCGACCAUUUUGCUGCUUUGGUCUGGAGAAAACCGAGUUGGGACGGUCGACUUAUGUGGAGUCGACUUGAGGAAGUCGAGCGCUUUGAGGUUUUCGGAGAGCCGAGCCUCUCACAGAAGUCGAACUAGCUGAGAGUCGAGCCGGGGGUCAAUCCUCCCACAGUGACUGUUUUCCCUGAAUGUCGACCUUGGGUAAGUCGAGCUUGUGGAAGUCAAGUCAGGGGUUGAUCCUCUUCAGUCGCUCGAGUUGGAACCUCCCGAGGAAUUCAAACUAGGGAACUGAACCUGGGGUCGAUCCCCCAGAUAUGGUCGAAUUGGAUCGCAAAGUCGACCCUGGGAGUCGAACCUCCCGAGGAAAUCGAGCUAGCAGGCUGAAUCUGCGCUGUUUGGAGCGGAUUUGGCCGUGACUUUUUCGACAAAGUCGACCAGCUUUCUGUUUUGUGAGUACCUUGAAUUCACAGACGGCGCCAACUGAUAAGGGUGGAACCCGAUCAGUGCUAGCACGAUGCUUCGAACAAGCGUAAGGCCACGAACUCCGUCAGAAAUCGCACGGACACUCUAGUCACUCAGGCUCUCUCUGGCAGAGGUUCUUUCUGACUCCAAAUAUCCUAACCUCUAAUGAGUGGUGGUGGUCCCUAUUUAUAGGGUCCUUAUGGGGGUAAUCUGGUCAUUAGGACUCUAACCGCCUAACUGCCCAGAUCUGGCCUGGGUCGACUUUAUGAGGUUGACUCCCUUGGGGUCGACUUUUAGCUCUCGGCCUCCUCAGAGGUCGGCUUGGCUAAAGUCGUCCAGUGGGGUUCCCCAUUGCCUACACAGACGCUUCCACUCAUUUUGGGUUAUCUCAAGCUGGUGUUGUGGUCCGGUACGAGAUACUGUAUCACCAUCCCCAAAUAUCAACAUGUAUAAGAUCAAAAUAUUUUUCGCUUUGUGAUGUACUUUUUGGGUAUGAUAAUUUUUGUUGUUUGGCAAGUGGACAAAUGUCACAUAGAGAAAUGAGAUCUUUAUUGUAUUUAGAAUUAUUUGAGAAACUAAUGUUAUUACAUGAGUUUCUAGCUAACAAACUAAGUUUAUUGUAUGAAAUGUGACCCAUCCUAGCAUGCCAAAGUUUAAUGUCUUGAGCAAUGUAGCAAAUAGCUUCUUUGUCAAAGACAUAUACUCCAUUUUGAGCACUACCCUGUCCAAUCAUAUUCUUGCUGUGAGGAUCCUGAAAAAGGCAAUGUGUUUUAUUUAAAAAAAUCCAUACACCCAUAUCUUCUAUAAUACUAUGUAGAGAAAUCAAAUUUAGUUUAAAAUCAGGAAUGUAGUAUACAUUUUUUAGAGUUAUUGUUGGAGAAAGCAUAAUUUCUCCUAUUUGUUUAAUUUCAAAAAAAAUUCCAUUUGGAAUUACAAACUCUUCUAAAAUUAUUAGAAGAUCUUAGAUUAAUAAAGAGUGAUUUAUUACCACUCAUGUGUUGUGAAGCACCACUAUCACAAAUCCAUUUAUCAUUUGAAUAUGCAUUUGAAAAACAAGCUAAAUCAGUUUUAAUUUUAUUAAAAGAAAUACUUGAAUUUUUCAUAAACAGGUUUUGCAUAACUUUGAACUCCUCAUGUGUAAUUGUAUGAGUUGUGGCAGAACUAGCUUGGUCUGUUUUGUAUUUCUUAAAAGAAGAACUCUUAAAUCCAUCUUUAUCAGAAGGGUAUCCAUUCAAAUGAAAACAAUUAUCUUUGGUGUGCCCAAAGAACUAACAAUGGUCACACCUAAUUUUUAAAUUUAGUUUAGUCCCUUUUUGCUAAACUUGUAUUUUUCAGAGUUGAAGGGUUCACUUCUAAUAUUAGAGACCUUCCUAACUGCCAUAGAAUUGUCUAUUUUAAAACUUUCAGAAGUAUAUUUUUUUAUAGUCACCCCUCUUUGUUUUUCAUCUAUGAUGACAGUGGAGAAUGCAGAGUCCAUGCUAGGAAUUUCUUUUGCAGCCAAUAUUUGACUCCUUAUGUUUAAAAAUUCCUCAUUCAAUCCUAAAAGAAAUUUAACUACCUUAUCUUGUUCUAUUUCUUCUUCCCAAAUUUGUAUUGCUCCACAUGUACACACCCCACAUAUACACCUUUUUUUCUUGCUUUAUAUCAUUCAAAGCAUCCCAUGCAGAUUUCAGUUGGAUAUAGUAAUCACUAACUGUCAUUUCUCCUUGGAAUAAAUUGGCCAAUUCUUGGCCAAUUUAAAAUCUUAAGGGUGCCUAGCCUUGGCUGUAUCUAAUUUUUAAAAUUUCCCAGGCUUCAUAGGCACUCUCAGCUAACCUAAUUGAUGCUGCAAUAUUUUUUUCACAUGCAUUUAUGAUCCAUGAAAAAACCACUCCAUUUACUGUUUCCCAAGCCUCAAACUCCUCUGAGUUUUCAUCCUUUGACCGGGAAACCUUACCAUUAAUAAACUUUUGCUUCCUCCUGGUCACUAACCAAAGCAUCAUAUCUUUAGACCAAGUAGGAUAAUUUAUUUGACCCUUAAGUAGGUCACUAAUAAUUUUAUUUGAAGGAUUAUCACUAGAAUGGAGAAAGUAUACAGAGGACCUGGUUGUGAAUGCAGAUUCCAAAUCAAAAGCCUUCUUUGUUUGAUCUGGAGCAGUCUCAGCAUUUGAAAUUUCCAUAUCACUUGCCUGAAUCUCCAUUGUCCAGUGAAAUCAGAAUGCGUUUGCGGAAGAAAAACGUGGCUAACACCCCAGAUUGACCGAAGAUACCAUAUGAAACGAACAACAUCGAGCUUCCUCGACGAACAGCCGGAAAUGGUCACCACAAUUGCCGGAGACUUGCGUUUUGGGGAAAAAUCUGUUUCCUGGAAUGGAAACUACAAAAACAGAAUUAACAAAUGUGGAAAAUUAUGUUUUUGUAAAACUUU